GCGGCCUUCCGGCCCCCCCCCCCAACAAUCCGCUCUCAGGACCCCCCCCCAAAAUCCCCCCCCAUCCCGGCUGCGCGUCAUCACCGCGGAGAUCCGGGUUCGAAUCCCGGCGCUGCCCGACUGGGAACUGCGCUACUGGGGGGGGGUUUGGGGGGGUGGUCCUUAUUAGCGCCCUCCUCCCGUCCUAUCGCCGUUAUUUUUAGGGUUAUUGUUGCUAUUAAUUGCGCUGAUCCUAUUAUUCCUGCUAUUGGUAUCCCUAUUAUUGCUAUUAGUAUCCCUAUUAUUGCUAUUAUUAUCCCUAUUAUUGCUAUUUUUCCCAUCAUUCCUCUCAUUCCUAUUAUUAUUCCUAUCAUUAUCGUUGCCAUCAUUCCCAUUAUUAUUAUUCCUACCAUUAUUAUUCCCAUCGUUCCUAUUAUUAUCAUUCCUACCACUAUUAUUGCUAUUAUCGCCAUUAUUCCUAUUAUUAUUAUUGCUAUUAUUCCUAUUAUUGCUAUUAUUCCUAUUCCUAUCAUUCCUGUUAUUAUUAUUCCUAUUAUUCCUAUUAUUCUUAUUAUUAUUACUCCUAUUAUUCCUAUCAUUUCUAUUAUUUCUAUUCCUAUUAUUGCUAUUAUUCCUAUUAUUAUUGCUAUUAUUCCUGUUAUUCCUAAUCCUAUUAUUCCUAGUAUUAGUACUUCUAUUAUUCCUAUCAUUCCUAUUAUUAUUAUUCCUAUUAUUGCUAUUAUUCCUAUUCCUAUCAUUCCUGUUAUUAUUAUUCCUAUCAUUCCUAUUAUUCUUAUUAUUCCUAUUAUUCCUGUUACUCCUAAUCCUAUUAUUCCUAUUAUUAUUACUCCUAUUAUUCCUAUCAUUCCUCUUAUUAUUAUUCCUAUUUAAUUCCUAUUAUUGCUAUUAUUCCUGUUAUUCCUACUCCUAUUAUUCCUAUUAUUAGUACUUCUAUUAUUCCUAUCAUUCCUGUUAUUAUUAUUCCUAUUAGUUCCUAUUAUUCCUAUUAUUAUUACUCCUAUCAUUCCUAUCAUUUCUGUUAUUCCUAUUCCUAUCAUUCCUAUUAUUAUUAUUCCUAUUAAUUCCUAUCAUUCCUAUCAUUCCUAUUAUUGCUAUAAUUCCUGUUACUCCUAAUCCUAUUAUUCCUAUCAUUAUUACUCCUAUUAUUCCUAUCAUUCCUAUUAUUAUUACUCCUAUUAUUCCUAUCAUUCCUUUUAUUCCUAUUCCUAUCAUUCCUAUUAUUAUUCCUAUUAUUCUUAUUAUUCCUAUUAUUCCUGUUACUCCUAAUCCUAUUAUUCCUAUCAUUAUUACUCCUAUUAUUCCUAUCAUUCCUAUUAUUAUUAUUCCUAUCAAUUCCUAUCAAUUAAUUCCUAUCAUUCCUAUUAUUAUUACUCCUAUUAUUCCUAUCAUUUCUGUUAUUCCUAUUCCUAUCAUUCCUCUUAUUAUUAUUCCUAUUAAUUCCUAUUAUUGCUAUUAUUCCUGUUAUUCCUAAUCCUAUUAUUCCUAUUAUUAGUACUUCUGUUCCUAUUAUUAUUCCUAUUAUUCUUAUUAUUCCUAUUAUUCCUGUUACUCCUAAUCCUAUUAUUCCUAUCAUUAUUACUCCUAUUAUUCCUAUCAUCCCUAUUAUUAUUAUUCCUAUCAAUUCCUAUCAAUUCCUAUCAAUUAAUUCCUAUCAUUCCUAUUAUUAUUACUCCUAUUAUUCCUAUCAUUCCUGUUAUUCCUAUUCCUAUCAUUCCUAUUAUUAUUAUUGCUAUGAUUCCUAUUAUCAUUCCUAUUAUUAUUCCUAUUAUUCCUACCGUUCCUAUUCCUGCUAUUCUUCCCAUUAAUGCUAUCAUCAUCACUCUUCCUAUCACCACCCAGCGUGACACACACGCUUGCACACGUGACACGUGCAAGCAGCACGUGCGUGCACACGUCCUUGCACACACGUCACACACACACACACACGCUGUGUGCACGCCCCUCGUGCAAUGCAGACCCCCCCCCAUGGUGCACCCCCACUGCAGACCCUCCCCAUUCAGUUGUGACCCCCCAAAAUGAGGUGUAGACCCCCCCCCCAACCCCAUAUGCCCCCAAUAUUCAUUGGAGCUCAACCCCAAAUCCCCCCCCCAGACCUCCAGGGAAUGGGGCAGGAAACCCACCCAGCUAUGGGGCAGCACCCUGUGUCACCUGGGGGCUCCUCCCAACCCCCCCCCACCCCCCAAAAUCCAGGGGCAAAAUAGGGCUGCAGAAUCCAACCCCCCUCCCCCAAAACCCACCCAGUGCAUCUAUGGGGGGGGGGGUCCACUCCUGACCACUGCACUUUGAUGGGGCUGUAGGACCCCCCCUCAACUCCAUCCACCACACGGCAGCCCUGAGCAACACGCGUGUGUGCACGCAGGUGUUGCACGCAGAGCACUUGUGUGUGCAAAAGCUCACGGCAGGUGUGUUCAGAAGCUCCCCGUGCCCCGCUGGGUGCACACGCUUGUGUGUGUUCACGCGCCCGUGAGCAGAAACUACCUGCGUGCAAACGCAGGCACUCGAGUGCACUCUGCAAAGCACGCGUGCGUGCAAGGCGAUGAUGUGAGUGCGAGAAGCACAGCUCUCACAGCACGGGUGCUUCCAGAUGUCUGGAAAGUGAAAAGAGAACCAAAAGUGAUGCAUUCAGGCAGGGGAGGGGUGCACCAUUCCCCCCCCCCUCACACACGCACAGGGUGUCCAUAAUGGGGCUGUUUUUUAGGGGCAUAAUCCAUUGGGAUGGAGCCCUCCAAGGGACGCCGCAGCCGAGAUCCCUUUGAUUUCAAGAGAAAGCCCAAAGAUUUAAUGAAGAGCAUCCUCAUCCCUGUGCUGGUGUGGGAUGCGUGCACAGCUCGGUGUGCCAGGUGAGCAGGUUGGGUUAAUCAAGAUAAAUAUGGGAUGCACUGCAGGCCCUGCUAACGAGCUGAGGGGCGGCCGGGGAUGUGCAAGGUGGGAUCCUGCAGCUCCACAUCACCAUGGAGACGAGGUUGGAGCAGCAGCAUCACCCACCCCAAACCCCUCACAUCUUCCAAAAUAGGAGGGGGAUGCACCCGGUUAGGUGAACCCCCCACACCCCCAAAAAAAUCCUUCUGCUGGAAAGCAAGGUGGAAAUAAAAGCAAAAUUCCAGCUUGGG
Phasianus colchicus (ring-necked pheasant) is the source of this 3110-nucleotide long non-coding RNA. The record is from Ensembl. NCBI's taxonomy places the organism in Eukaryota, Metazoa, Chordata, Aves, Galliformes, Phasianidae.